Molecule: long non-coding RNA, 2740 nt
Organism: Macaca mulatta (Rhesus monkey)
Lineage: Eukaryota; Metazoa; Chordata; Mammalia; Primates; Cercopithecidae
Source: Ensembl
AUGCCUCUCAGAGUGCACUCGCGGGCUCUCUUAGGCUCCAUUCUAGUUGUCCCCAAAACCGUUUCCUGUUGUUCUCACUUCUUCCCAGGGAGGGUUUCUCUGCGAUCCUUUUCUGGUUCAUUUUUGGGUGCCUGGUUUCUAUUCCCAUCUUCUUUAUGGGCAUCGUGUCUAGUAGUUUGGUGUUACUCUGAGAAGUCUCCUCCUGUGCCUCAGCAGGCCAAGUCUGAGAGCAGCUCAGAGGACAGCGUCCCCUCAUCUGUGGCACCCCUGUGUCUGAGGGAGUGCGGGAAGGAGAGAGAUGAGAGAACGGCCUCACUGACUGUGUGUGGACACUCACGUUCUUCUACAUCUCUCCCUAGCCAACCAACCCGCCAGUAUGGUGGAGAGCUCAUCCUUGGAGGUUUCUUAAAUAGAAUCACCAGCCCUGGGCUGAGGUGGUCCUGGGGCUCAGAAGACACUGGUGUCUGGCGCUAGACUUUUUGAACUGGGUACUGAGCCUCAGCAUGCUGGCAGGUUGGUCAUUCCUAGGCACUGUGAAUCUAUGUUUCUAUCUUGGAAGCUUGAUGAUUUCCAUCAGCAUAAUCUUUACCACUUCUAUCAUUAGUGAAAGUAAUAGCUGUCAUUGAUGUUUUUAUAUAUGCCAGGUACUAUGCUAAGUAUAUUUUUUAUUUAUUUAUUUGAGACAGAGUGUCACUCUGUCACCCAGGCUGGAGGGCAGUGGCAUGAUCUCGGCUCACUGCAACCUCUGUCUCUGGGGUCCAAACGAUUCCCUUGCCUCAGCCUCCUGAGUAGCUGGGAUUACAGGUGCCCACCACCAUGCCCAGCUAAUUUUUUGUAAUUUUAGUAGAGAUGGGCUUUCACCAUGUUGGUCAGGCUGGUCUCAGACUCCUGACCUCAAGUGAUCCAUCCAUCUUGGCCUCCCAAAGUACUGGGAUUAUAGGUGUGAGCCACCGUGCCCAGCCUAAGUACUUUGAAUACAUUAUUGCAUAUAAUUUCCACAAGAGCACUAUAAGGAGGUCAGCAAUAUGUUUCAUUCUAUAAAGAAAUCAAGGCUCAGAGGGCUAAGUAACUUGUCCAAAGUCACGCAUUAUAUAAGGCCAAAAUUUGAGCACAAGCUUAUCUGAUCUGCAUUGGGAUCAGAUAAGCUUGUGCUCAAAUCAGUUAUUUCUACAGCCAAGAAUUCUCUAUCACAUGCCAAUUGAAGACAAAACUCCUUUGAUCUGUAUUUAAGACCAUACAAAGUCUCGGCUCCACCUAUCAAUACAGCCUCUCAGUGCUUCAUGAUAUUUAGCACAGACUUCAACAAGUCCUUGCAGCUGGCCAUGAUUUUCUUGCUUUUGUUCUUUUAAUCAUGCCACCUGGAGUGCUUACUUGAAUUGUAGGCAUUCCUCAAAGCCCAGAUUAAUUUGUAUCUUCUCCUAAAAAUCCUUCCAGGGGCCCAGAGCACAGUGAUUUCUCUCUCUUUUGAUCCUAUAAUGCUUACCUGUGCUGCUGUCACAAUUAACAUGUCCUAGUCAUUGGGCAAGGCAGUGGGGAAACAGCCCAACCUACAAGAGUAGAAAGAGGUAAGAGCUUGGCAGAUUAUCUGUACAUGGAAUAGAGGUGUCUUUUCAUAUAGCCCAAUUCUACUCAUCCUUUAUCACUUCCUCAGAAAAAUCCUUGUUCUGGCUUUCCAAACUAGAUCAAGUCCUCUUUUCUCAGGCACAUUGCAACGUGCACCUAUCAGGGCUGCAAUUAGACAUCAUUUGUGUGUUUUUGUUAAGUGUCUGGGCUCUCCACUAGACUGUGGUGUAUGUCUUGUUUACCAUUGUAUCUCCAAGUGCCUUGCAUGACACCUGGCUCGUAGACAGAUCUCAACACAUCUAUGUGGGAUGAAGAGGAAGGGUAGAGCAGUAGAAAAAAGCAAGACAAGGAAUCAGAGACUGAAUCAUGUAAGAUGCUAUGUACCACAUUACAGGGUUUAUCAGCUACUGCCUUACAGUGUUAGUCAUGGCUUGAUUAAUUGUGUUGUUUCGUCUCUAUUAGAAUAAGCUCCUUAAAACAGUAAGCACAAAUUACCCACUCCUUGUAUCACCAUAAACCCUGAAAGAGUGUCUUACACAUAGUAGGUGCUCAAAAUGCAGCUAUUUAUUGAUUACAAGCCCUGACUGUGUUUGGCACUAUGUGCUGGACCCCAAAUAGGUAGAUGAAAGAAGAUAAGACACAGGCUCUGUCUUCCUAGAGCUUUCAGUCAGAGCUGGAGUGGGCAUCAGAUCAAGACUGAGGAUGCGACUCCAAUAAUCACGAAUGCGCUGAAGCAUUUCAUGGGCAGAUGUGUAAUAGGAGUGGCUUGGCUGCCUGGAAGAGGAAGAACAUCAGAGCUGCUGGGUUGGGGGACAAGGGAUGACAUGGUUCAUGUUUUCAGUAGAGGCACUUGAUUCUCUUUGUCCUGGUGUCCCCCUCAGAUUUGCCGUCGGUAACCAGGCCACUGGCUUGUGCUCUGAGGGUUGCCAGGCCAUUGUGGUUACCGGGACCUUCCUGCUGGCAGUUCCCCAGCAGUACAUGGGCUCCUUCCUGCAGGCAACAGGAGCCCAGCAGGCUCAGAAUGGUGAUGUGAGUAAUCAGAAGCCAAGGGCUUUUCUGCACACCCAGACAGACUCAACACAGGCACCUGAGUGCAAGGAGUUCACAACAGAGAGGAGGAAGGGUAGAAUGGGACCUGAGGCUUUGGUAGGAGAGAUGGGUGGGGACACAGCAUGAC